This 305-nucleotide ribosomal RNA is filed under the name uncultured bacterium. RNAcentral's name for it is "bacterial SSU rRNA". It matches the Rfam family "Bacterial small subunit ribosomal RNA", at positions 335 to 659 of the family's 1533-position model. The record is from RNAcentral.
AUCCUACGGGGCGCAGCAGUAAGGGAUAUUGGUCAAUGGGGGAAACCCUGAACCAGCAACGCCGCGUGAGGGAAGACGGUUUUCGGAUUGUAAACCUCUGUCCUCUGUGAAGAUGAUGACGGUAGCAGAGGAGGAAGCUCCGGCUAACUACGUGCCAGCAGCCGCGGUAAUACGUAGGGAGUGAGCGUUAUCCGGAUUUAUUGGGUUUAAAGGGUGCGCAGGCGGAUUUUUAAGUCAGCGGUCAAAUCGUGGGGCUCAACCCCAUCCAGCCGUUGAAACUGGGGAUCUAGAGUGUGCGAGAGGUA